RNAcentral lists this ribosomal RNA (1324 nucleotides) under metagenome. Its description in RNAcentral is "SSU rRNA". It matches the Rfam family "Eukaryotic small subunit ribosomal RNA", at positions 477 to 1823 of the family's 1831-position model. The record is from RNAcentral.
AUAACGAUACGGAACUCAUACGAGGCUCCGUAAUCGGAAUGAGUACACUUUAAAUCCUUUAACGAGGAUCUAUUGGAGGGCAAGUCUGGUGCCAGCAGCCGCGGUAAUUCCAGCUCCAAUAGCGUAUAUUAAAGUUGUUGCGGUUAAAAAGCUCGUAGUUGGAUCUCGGUUUCACUCAGGCGGUACACCUUGCGGUGUUCACUGUCUGGGCGGACGUUUCUGUUGGUUCGCUAUUGGUUCUCUUAAUCGAGUGCCAGCCGGUGGCCAGCACGUUUACUUUGAAAAAAUUGGAGUGCUCAAAGCAGGCGUUACAGCCUGAACAUUAGUGCAUGGAAUAAUGGAAUAGGAUCUCGAUUCUAUUUCGUUGGCUUUCGGAGUCGAGGUAAUGAUUAAUAGGGACAGACGGGGGCAUUCGUACUGCGACGUUAGAGGUGAAAUUCUUGGAUCGUCGCAAGACGAACUACUGCGAAAGCAUUUGCCAAGAAUGUUUUCAUUAAUCAAGAACGAAAGUUAGAGGUUCGAAGGCGAUCAGAUACCGCCCUAGUUCUAACCAUAAACGAUGCCAACCGGCGAUCCGUCGUCGUUAAUUGAAUGACUCGACGGGCAGCCUCCGGGAAACCAGAGUGUUUGGGUUCCGGGGGAAGUAUGGUUGCAAAGCUGAAACUUAAAGGAAUUGACGGAAGGGCACCACCAGGAGUGGAGCCUGCAGCUUAAUUUGACCCAACACGGGAAAUCUCACCAGGCCCGGACACCGGAAGGAUUGACAGAUUGAGAGCUCUUUCUUGAUUCGGUGGGUGGUGGUGCAUGGCCGUUCUUAGUUGGUGGAGCGAUUUGUCUGGUUAAUUCCGAUAACGAACGAGACUCUGGCCUACUAACUAGAAGGGCCGUUCUUUAUGAGCGGUCCUCUGCUUCUUAGAGGGACGGGCGGCGUUUAGCCGCACGAGAAUGAGCAAUAACAGGUCUGUGAUGCCCUUAGAUGUUCUGGGCUGCACGCGCGCUACACUGAAGGAAUCAGCAUGUUCUCCCCUCCCUGAAAAGGGCGGGUAACCCGUUGAAACUCCUUCGUGAUGGGGAUUGGAGAUUGUAAUUAUUCUCCAUGAACGAGGAAUUCCCAGUAGGCGCGAGUCAUCAGCUUGCGUCGAUUACGUCCCUGCCCUUUGUACACACCGCCCGUCGCUACUACCGAUCGAGUGAUUUAGUGAGGACUUCGGACUGGUCUUCAAGUUGGCUUCGGUCAGCUCGAAGCUCCGGAAAGAUGCCCAAACUUGAUCACUUAGAGGAAGUAAAAGUCGUAACAAGGUUUCUGUAGGUGAACCUGCGGAAG